RNAcentral lists this unclassified non-coding RNA (226 nucleotides) under Hevea brasiliensis (rubber tree). The record is from RNAcentral. Lineage: Eukaryota; Viridiplantae; Streptophyta; Magnoliopsida; Malpighiales; Euphorbiaceae.
UAAGUACAAUCCCAUAAAUGGAUACAAUAUAAAACCUCAUUGUACAUUUUUUUUCAACUUACAAGCACAAAACAUUGAUCGAAAAGAUACACUAUUCACUUGAUUCUAUAUUCUACCAAGCAUUGAAAGCACAAGGCUUUUCCAGCAGAGGAGGACUGACCAAAUUACAAUGACUUUUACCUGGAUUCACAGCAAGAGAAUAAUAACACACCUAACAUCAAAUUUA